AGGACGAACGCUGGCGGCGUGCUUAACACAUGCAAGUCGAGCGGAAAGGCCACUUCGGUGGUACUCGAGCGGCGAACGGGUGAGUAACACGUGAGUAAUCUGCCCUUGGCUUUGGGAUAGCCACCGGAAACGGUGAUUAAUACCGGAUACGACAACUUCUCGCAUGGGAUGGUUGUGGAAAGUUUUUCGGCCAGGGAUGUGCUCGCGGCCUAUCAGCUUGAUGGUGAGGUAAUGGCUCACCAUGGCUUCGACGGGUAGCCGGCCUGAGAGGGUGACCGGCCACACUGGGACUGAGACACGGCCCAGACUCCUACGGGAGGCAGCAGUGGGGAAUAUUGGACAAUGGGCGGAAGCCUGAUCCAGCAACGCCGCGUGAGGGAUGACGGCCUUCGGGUUGUAAACCUCUUUCAGCAGGGACGAAGCGCAAGUGACGGUACCUGCAGAAGAAGCACCGGCCAACUACGUGCCAGCAGCCGC
This 477-nucleotide ribosomal RNA is filed under the name uncultured bacterium. RNAcentral describes it as "SSU rRNA". It matches the Rfam family "Bacterial small subunit ribosomal RNA", at positions 26 to 518 of the family's 1533-position model. The record is from RNAcentral.